This 1556-nucleotide long non-coding RNA is filed under the name Homo sapiens (human). RNAcentral describes it as "uncharacterized LOC105377730, transcript variant 4 (LOC105377730)". Lineage: Eukaryota; Metazoa; Chordata; Mammalia; Primates; Hominidae. The record is from RNAcentral.
UGCUUUUCUCUCUCCUCCCUUGCUGGAAAGAGUGCAGAGAGUAGACUUGAACCCUGUCAUUUUGCUGCUGGAUGGUCAGAGAUCUCAAAGCAAGGCUUGUUGGACAAAUAAAUGAAGAUGAGCCCAAGAGCCCAGGAGAGGGACCGGGAACAGCAGGGCCUCCGUGACUCACACAAGCUUCAUCCCUGAACCAAGGACGCAGCCUGCCAACAAUGGCCCCAAGCCACACCCCGCCACAGGGGGAACUGAUGCUGCGGUGAGAAGUGACAGCUUUCUGUUGACUCUUUUUUUUUUCAAGCAGAAUAUGAAUUGAGACAUACUUUCAUUUUCAUAAUCAGAACCUAACACUUAGUAACCAAUGUUGGUGGAAGCAAAUGAGAUCACAGUUUGUCUGUUCCAAACUCAUCUCUGGGAAAAGGAGGAGGAAAAAUUAUUGGCACUAUGUUCAGAAUCAUAGCUGAAGAUGCAGAAAUUGUUCAUCCCAAUUUUGCCUUUGUAAGUAAUGUGGGGGCAGUUCUUAUUAGUAAUUGCCAAUCUCUACUGAGACACAGUAUUUUGCUAGGCGCUUUAUAUUCAUUUCCUGGUAUGAUCAUGACAUUAACCCUGUGAAAUGCGUACCCUUACUAUCUCCAUGUGAAGAAAUGAGGGAACUGAGGACCAGAGAGGUGAACUGACUUGUCCAAAGACACACAGUAAGGGCUGUGACUCUCCGCUUUCUAAGAUUUUUGUUCUUAUCGCUCCACAGCACAUAGCAGGCGUAGUAUGAAGGCAGCAUGCUGCACAAUUUCGCUGUUUGUUUCUUGGAAUAAUAAUUUAUAGGGGACUGCUUCUAGAUUCCAAAGGAAAGAGAAAGGAAAUAUGCCCCAAACUCAGGCUUUCAGCCUGGCCCUGCCUGACUCACUGAGCUGCAUUGGACAAAUGAUUCAUUCACUGGCCUUGACCUCAGUGGGUUUGGCCACCCAUUGAGAGUGAAGUCACACCUCCAGCACUGCGAUGCAUUUAUUGAUCCACUCACCUAGCUUCAUGGCAGGCAAGAAACAGGCCUGUGUGAGCCUGCCCAGGAUCAGGGACAGGAGAGCACACAGGUGUUUCUGGAUAUCCUCAAGCUGUAGCUGGGCUGCUCGAUUCUUCCCUAGGAGAUCCUCCGGGGGCCUGAAUUAGUUUGCUAGGGCUUCCGUAACAAAGCGCCACAGACUGAGCGGCUUAAAUAAAAAUGUGUCAUCUCAUGGUUCUGGAGGCUGGAAGUCUGAGAUCAAGGUGCUGGGGAUUAGGACUUGAACAUAUGUUUUUUGGGGGCACACUUCAACCCUCCGGAGGGCCUGUGCCCCAAAGAGAGCCUCCUUCUGUGUGCAGUGAAGGUGUGAGUUCUAAACAUGAGAAAAAAACACCCCUUGUUCUUGGAUAGGGUGACUCGAUACCACAAGCAGGUCCAACUGGCCCAGGUAAAUAUAUUCGUUUAACAUGAUCGUCACCAAAAUAUUGAGGGUAGGUGUUUUUUUCUGGAGUUAAACAAGUUGAUUCUGGAGUUGAUAUGAAAUAAUAAACAAGCAAAAAUA